GACGAACGCUGGCGGCGUGCUUAACACAUGCAAGUCGAACGGAAAGGCCCUGCUUUUGUGGGGUGCUCGAGUGGCGAACGGGUGAGUAACACGUGAGUAACCUGCCCUUGACUUUGGGAUAACUUCAGGAAACUGGGGCUAAUACCGGAUAGGAGCUCCUGCUGCAUGGUGGGGGUUGGAAAGUUUCGGCGGUUGGGGAUGGACUCGCGGCUUAUCAGCUUGUUGGUGGGGUAGUGGCUUACCAAGGCUUUGACGGGUAGCCGGCCUGAGGGGGUGACCGGCCAAAUUGGGACUGGGAUACGGCCCAGACUCCUACGGGAGGGAGCGGUGGGGAAUAUUGCACAAGGGGCGGAAGCCUGAUGCGGCAACGCGGGGGGGGGGAUGACGGCCUUGGGGUUGUAAACCGCUUUCGCCUGGGACGAAGGGGGGGUGACGGUAAUGGGGAAAGAAGCACCGGCUAACUACGG
RNAcentral lists this ribosomal RNA (467 nucleotides) under uncultured bacterium. Its description in RNAcentral is "partial 16S ribosomal RNA". It matches the Rfam family "Bacterial small subunit ribosomal RNA", at positions 28 to 506 of the family's 1533-position model. The record is from RNAcentral.